AUGAGUGGCUUCAUCUUUUCCUUCCAGACUGUAUUGCCACAUGCCUGAAAGCAGUAGCCAGCCAAUCAUGGACUGGAGCCUCUAAAAUUGUCAACCAGUUCUGUUCAGUCUCUGCUCCCUGUCCAUGACGCCAUGAUCAGCCUGUGAUCACAACCGACAUAUCCUGAGAGGGGAAUCGAGGCUAGACAGCCUGGAGUGGAAGAGACCUCCCAUGGCAGUGUGGUGAAUGCUCUUACUUAAAAGAGUGGUACACUUAUCUGGGCAGCACGCCAAAGUCGCAUUUCAAAGAACGAGUUAAUUUUCAUGGUGAGGGUUUUUUUUUUUUUCCCCAUUUGAAACAUUCCAGUCCCUCUGAACUUUGGUUCCUGUACUUUGUAAAACUGAGGGUUGGAACAGGGUCAGAGACACAAGCCACUGCUCUCUGGGAAGACCUUAGACCCCUGCGGCACUUCUAGGGCUGGGAAGAGACCACACAGCAGGCCCUGCUGUGUUGCAGGCAAUAGAAUUCUAAUCCAGGGAGAAGAGAAGUAUUUUUAAAAAGGCAAGGUUUUGUAUUAGCUGGGGACAGUGUCCCCUGCACUUGCGACAUGCUGACACUGGCCACUUGGGGGGGGUGUUUUCCCCUCUGGCCAUUUAACCUGAAGCUUACUGAACGGAAGAAAGGCUAGUGCCUGUCUCUGAGCUGGAACAUUCGGUUCUGGCCAAUUCAACCACUGAUAACCGGAAAUCAAGUCAAAAGUUGAAAGAGAAAACCCAGCAGAGAGUCCAGGUUUUUGAAAUAGCACCUGGUAAUGGGGAAAAACAACUGAGGCCUUGAAAGGGGCCAGUCCUGGAAGUCAGCGUCUGUUAUCGAAGCGCCUUCCUGCAUCAUUACAAAAAAAAAAAAAAAAAAAAAAAAAGAACAAACUUUCUGCGUAUCCCAGGGGAUUAAAAGACAAGUGGAGUGCACCAGACAGGGGUAAAUCAAAAUGAAGAACACAAUAAAACCACACUGAAGAGGAUCAGAAUAAAACAAAAUAAAGAAACGGAACUCAAAACAUCAAGACAGGAGAAAAGAUGCUGGCAGGUGGGAAGGUGCGCCACAGACAUAGGACGGGUACGGACAGAGUCAAAAUCCCAGCUCGCCAAGUCCUUGAGAAACAAUAGAAAGUCAAUUCACAGUCAAGUUCGCCGAUGAAGUGAAAUGCUGGUUUAAAUACUGUAGCAAAUGCACCAAAUAGGAAAAUGAACGUUUUCACAGGAAGGUUCAGGGAGAAACUUUGAAGCGAGCAACCGGAUGCUUCAGUAGCAGCUGGGAAGCCCCGCCAGGGGCGCGCCCGGCGUGGGUGCGCAGUUUACAGAAGGACUAUUGGAAACUAUCGACUUUCUCUUAGUGCUAUCUGCCUGGUGGAAUAGCAUUUUCGCUAUGGCACUGAAGAAGGUUGUGGGGCGCCACGUCUUUCUUAGAAAUCAAGCUCUCAGACACACGGAAUCACUCAAUGUCCUUGUCCAGUGGUAACCAGAGCAGCCAAGGGAGAUUUGUGCCUGGCAAGUUCUAGUCCAGUCACGCAGGCUUGUAGGCCCGAGAUGAUGAAAAAAAGUCAUGGUGGGAGGCACAGGACUUCUACCUGGGAGGCUCAGGGCCAUGGGAUGCCAACAAAAGCUACCAGGCUCUAAGUUACCAGACAGCUUUAGAAGACCGCAUUGCUCCUGGGCGAGGCUCACACGAUAUCUGCUUUACAGCAUGGUCUGAAUCCAACCAUAUUCCCAAAGACAUUACCCAUGGAUAGACCCACCCGGACUGAUGGCAACACCUCUUCUUGGCCCAGAAAUCACAAAUGGGUAUCUCAACAAUUUCAUCAAAUCGCUUAUAGGCCAUUUCUUCCACUGUAGAGCGCAUGCGCUGAGCACAACUGCC
This is a non-coding RNA of Rattus norvegicus (Norway rat), 1897 nucleotides long. The record is from RefSeq and is a predicted model, not a curated record. NCBI's taxonomy places the organism in Eukaryota, Metazoa, Chordata, Mammalia, Rodentia, Muridae.